UCUGUAGCUCAGUGGUAGAGCAUCCGCCUUGUAAGCGGAAGGUCGUGGGUUCAAUCCCCACCGG
This 64-nucleotide transfer RNA is filed under the name fish gut metagenome. It matches the Rfam family "tRNA", at positions 5 to 66 of the family's 71-position model. From Rfam's summary of the family: Transfer RNA (tRNA) molecules are approximately 80 nucleotides in length. Their secondary structure includes four short double-helical elements and three loops (D, anti-codon, and T loops). Further hydrogen bonds mediate the characteristic L-shaped molecular structure. tRNAs have two regions of fundamental functional importance: the anti-codon, which is responsible for specific mRNA codon recognition, and the 3' end, to which the tRNAs corresponding amino acid is attached (by aminoacyl-tRNA synthetases). tRNAs cope with the degeneracy of the genetic code in two manners: having more than one tRNA (with a specific anti-codon) for a particular amino acid; and 'wobble' base-pairing, i.e. permitting non-standard base-pairing at the 3rd anti-codon position. The record is from RNAcentral.